GAUGAACGCUGGCGGCGUGCCUAAUACAUGCAAGUCGAGCGAACGGACGAGAAGCUUGCUUCUCUGAUGUUAGCGGCGGACGGGUGAGUAACACGUGGAUAACCUACCUAUAAGACUGGGAUAACUUCGGGAAACCGGAGCUAAUACCGGAUAAUAUUUUGAACCGCAUGGUUCAAAAGUGAAAGAAGGUCUUGCUGUCACUUAUAGAUGGAUCCGCGCUGCAUUAGCUAGUUGGUAAGGUAACGGCUUACCAAGGCAACGAUGCAUAGCCGACCUGAGAGGGUGAUCGGCCAAACUGGAACUGAAACACGGUCCCGACUCCUACGGGAAGCAGCAGUAGGGAAUCUUCCGCAAUGGGCGGAAGCCUGACGGAGCAACGCCGCGUGAGUGAUGAAGGUCUUCGGAUCGUAAAACUCUGUUAUUAGGGAAGAACAUAUGUGUAAGUAACUGUGCACAUCUUGACGGUACCUAAUCAGAAAGCCACGGCUAACUACGUG
Molecule: ribosomal RNA, 497 nt
Filed under: uncultured bacterium
Lineage: Bacteria
Description: partial 16S ribosomal RNA
Rfam family: Bacterial small subunit ribosomal RNA
Source: RNAcentral